Molecule: ribosomal RNA, 429 nt
Filed under: Verrucomicrobiota bacterium
Lineage: Bacteria; Pseudomonadati; Verrucomicrobiota
Description: Verrucomicrobia bacterium partial 16S ribosomal RNA
Rfam family: Bacterial small subunit ribosomal RNA
Source: RNAcentral
UAGGGAAUCUUCCGCAAUGGACGAAAGUCUGACGGAGCAACGCCGCGUGAGUGAAGAAGGAUUUCGGUUCGUAAAACUCUGUUGUUAGGGAAGAAAAAAUGUAUAGUAACUAUAUACAAAAGAGACGGUACCUAACCAGAAAGCCACGGCUAACUACGUGCCAGCAGCCGCGGUAAUACGAAGGGGGCUAGCGUUGUUCGGAUUUACUGGGCGUAAAGCGCACGUAGGCGGACUUUUAAGUCAGGGGUGAAAUCCCGGGGCUCAACCCCGGAACUGCCUUUGAUACUGGAAGUCUUGAGUAUGGUAGAGGUGAGUGGAAUUCCGAGUGUAGAGGUGAAAUUCGUAGAUAUUCGGAGGAACACCAGUGGCGAAGGCGGCCAACUGGUCCGAAACUGACGCUGAGGCGCGAAAGCGUGGGGAGCAAACAGG